GAAAGACCCGAGAUGCUCGUGCUAUUUAAAUUCAUAGCGGAUAUGGAAAUAACGAGCGGAAGAUAAGCGCAGUUUCCUAUUCGUUCGGCUCGUUGCGUAUCUACGCGACUCGCGUUACACCCUGUCGCUCUCUCUCUCUCUCGUCGCACUUUCUUCUCACGCUUAACGUUAAUCGAGAUGAAAUUUUAUCGUUCGACUCGUUACUUCGGUCGGUCGGUGAAACGUUGCCGAAAAGAUAUCCGAAAGAUGGUUGGUUUGGUUCCUUCAAACGCGUUCGCCGUCGAGUCCGGAGAGAGUAAGGAGAAGGGCAAAGAAAACAUAUUGGUACACCGCGAGAGUUUGAAAGCUCUCCAAGUUAGUUCCAAACGAACGUCCGAAAGUCGUUGCUUCGUCGCUCGUAGAAGGAAGGAAAAGUCGCGAUUACGGAGAAACGGCGCCAUUAGUCCCGCCUCCUGCUACCAAACCCCACCACGACGCGCUCCACCGUUGCUCCGCCGUCGCGUCGAUCUUUAUCACACGACGUUACGAUCUAUCGACGUCCGGACCUCUCGUUUCACGCGACCUCUGCUCGCUGGUCCGUACAUGUGCGUCUCCAUCGGAUAUAUCACCCCGAUUAGCACGAUCGAUGAAUUUUAUUAUUUUUUUCGAAUACUUGGGAAUAUCGCGAUGGAAGCUUUACAUAAUUACGAGAUCGUCGGAUUAUUUAUUUAUGAUGCGCGUCGGUCGUGGACGCAUUUUAUAGUAAGUAGGCGCGAGGCCUACAACAGCGUUACAUCGUAAUUCCACGUUACUCCUGUGCGCGGCGCUCGUUUCUUCGCGACGCGAUACGUCGACUAUAAAACAUCAAACCUUUCGUUUCUCCCUUUCGUCCGACGGACGAUCGUAAAAAAGAAAAGAAAAGCGAAAAGGGAAAAUCGAAAGAAUUUAACGUGCUUUAGGAAAAGUCGUUGUAAUUUAGGAGAAAAUCAAAGAGCGAGAGCGACGAGAGUCUCUUGCUCGUGCGCACGCUCGCGCGCACGCCCGCACUUACGUCACGCGCGCAAGGCCUUCGCUAAUCUUCGAUAAAGUAAACACGACUUUUAUCGUCCCGCCGGUUGUCCGUGUCGCGUAGGUUAACGUUAUGGACGAUCUUCCUCGAGGGUGAGGAGGGAAAUCGACGAGGAACGAGUCUUACGUGUACUAGCCACGUUGUAACAACGCGCUGGCGCGAAUACUUUUUUCAUUUUUCUUUUGCUCUUAUAAAACUAAACCGGGCUAGGGAAUAGGGGAGGGAGAGGAGAAUCUAGAGACCGUUCGUGUUUCUUUCAAACCAAAGCAAACGGACGUAAGAAGUCGAGCUCGGCAGUGUUCCAAUGAAAUGGCAAAGUGCAAUGCCGUCACAAUAGAAAAAAUGUUAUAUUGCGAAGAAACAAAGAGCGAGCGAGCGAGCGAGCGAGCGAGAGGGGGCAGAGAGAGAGAGAGAGAGAGAGAGAGAUGGUCUUCCAAGUAAGUCGAGUUUUGUCAAGCGAGGGAAGCGUUAUCUAUUCCGUUGCUCGCUGAGUGUACGCUGGCGUCGCCUCGUGCACGAUAAAGACGCAUACGCAUAUUUACAUAAGUAUAUGAGCGCGUCCGGGUGAGGAAGGAUAAGAAAAGUAAAAGGAGGAGAAAAAAGGAAACGCGUUAAACGUAGGCGAAUUAAUACCAACGAACGAAGGAAGAAGGAAAACGAUUUAUCGUGUCUACCAUGGCUUCGGAUCCUUUCUCGGUAUAAGGCAAUAAGAAUUAAUUACGUGAAAAAAAAAGAAGAAGAAGAAAACAGAUAAAAGAGAGAUAGAGUACAUGUACGUAUCGAGUGCUUGUCACUUCACGAUUACUUCCGACUCGACCGCGGCGCCGGUUCUUUCGAUAGUCGUCGAAUCGUGUGCUAGUGCGCGAUCUCGAAAACGCUCGCUCGAAUCUCAUCUUCGAUUCCUCUUUUUCUUCAACAUCGUUUCGUAUGAAAUCAUAUCGAAUGUAACGUGCAACUUGGUCCGUCCAAAGUACAAGACAUCUAAUAAUUUUUGUCUGUUUCUUAUUUUUACGUUAAGCGUAGACGUCACUCUACUCCACUUCGUACCCGUAAUGAUACCCGUGUCUCGAUUAUUUUAAAUUCAAAUCUAUUAUAUAUCGCUAUAUAUAUAUAUCGCACAGUUUACGAUUAGUCGUUCAUCGCACCGUUUUAAUACCAUUAUUAUACACGCUUUUCCGUUAAAUAAGGCGUAAACGUUGAGCUCGCGCCCACGUUAAAUGUUUCUCGGGAAACACGAUAAAAAUAUCGAUUACGCGCGUUCCUUUAGAAUCUAUGCGGUCGCGGAGGAGCGACGAUCGUAAAAAUCAUUCUCGAGACGCGAAACGGUAAAUUCGGUUCUCAGCUAAAAUAGUAGUUGCGAGAAUUUUGCGUUGGCGAAUCAAUCGAAAGGUUAUUCGCGAUCGAACGAAGAAAAUAACGAAUAGGUCACGAUAUAGACCGCGUAUUUGUAUAUUUCCAUGAAAAAAUCCUCGCGUUUACAUGUCUCCGGUGGAAUCGUUCCAUUCUCCUUUUCUCUUUCUCUCUCUCUCUCUCUCUCUCUCUCUCUCUCUCUCUCUCUCUCUCUCUGUCUCUCUCUCCUCCCUUUUUUAUUACUUUUUCUUUGUUUUUUUUCCAAAGAAUUCGAUGCUUACUCGAUAUUAUCCGUUAACUCUUUUUCAUUGAUCUAUGCAAUCUUAUAUAUCGGUCGAUCUUGCACAUCGGCGAACGAGCAAGAAUGGAAGAAAAACGGAUAUCUUGAUUACGAGGAAGAGAAGAGGAAAGGAAACUGUUGCAUACGACGGUAGAACGAAAAAUACAAAAGAGAGAUAAGGAUAUCGCGUUCGUCACGUUUUCGCGCGUCGUAUGUACUUACAUACGUACGCGUUUCGAGUUUGCAUGCCUUCGUCCGUUGUGCUCUCCUCGUCAGUGCGUUCGCGACGGCGAACGGAAGAGAGGGAACGAGAGAGAAACGGGCAAAGCCAGUCGAGUUUUCACAAGAGCGACGCGCACGUGUGUAUGUAAGUACGUGCGCGAGUCCAAGUCAGCCAAGUUAUGUAACCGAUGAGGUAGCGUUCGGAGUAUCGUGCCGACACGUCGGAGCUUCGCUCAGCACUACCGUCGCGCGUCGUCUCUCGAGUAAACUGUUCGAAAGGGACCAAAACAGCAUCGCAAUUUUUCAUCGAUGCAGCGAAAAAGUCGUUAUUUCUUCUAUCCAUUGGAAUAUGGAAUAUAAAUGCGCGCACGUGCGCUUGCGCGUACAUACAAACACACGCACAUAUUGUUAGACUCUAAAUUUAUCUUUCAUGGCCACCGAGCGAUAUUACAGAUACGUAGAUUUACGAUACGUUCUUGUGCAUUUUUUUAUAGCACAAGAGAAAGUGAAUAAGAGUAGUUGUGCGGAUAAAAAGACAUCAUAACGUAUGGAAUAUGAUCGGUCGAAUGAACUAGUUACCGAUACCGUACGAAUUUGAGUAAAGAUGUUUAUCGAGGAAAAUGUACGACACGGUUCGUUAUAAUAGAUAUUAGAGUAUAACCGGAUUGAGAGAUUUUCUGUAAUCAUUUUCAGAAUUUUGACGCGCUUUCGAAACUUAUCUUGAUAAAUAUAUCGAAAUAUCGUGAUGCUUCUGUACGAAGAGUAAACGAUUAAGGGGUAGAGGGGAGACUGACCGCUCGGUGGCCUUCUUUCUCUCGAAUAGAACGAAAAGGAUGAAAAAGGAGGAAGAAGCAUGGGCGGCAUUGCGCAAUCGGCGAGUCCGUGUUGCGGAUGUCGUCGCUCUUGUCAGCUAGAAUAAUGAGAAACGUUGAAAGCGCGGGCGUUGUCCGGUCGCGUCAAGAUCCUUCGUCUGCAGUUCGAGGAUUACCUCACAUUUCAGGAAACGUUGCAUUAACUGCAUUCUCUCUCUUUCUCUCUUCCUUCUGCUCCUCCUCCUCCUCCUCUUUAUCGCCUCCUCGUUGCACGCGCACUUUAUAGCAGGAGAAAAAAAGAGAUAGAUUUUUGUCGCUAAACUUAUUAGUUUUCAGCUCCGAGGGAAAAUAAUGUCGAUAGCUCUAAAGCUCUCCUUUUGACGAGAACGCCUCGUAACGCUUGAUGGAACGUUAUCUUUACAAUUCCUCGAAAAUACCUUCUUCUCUUUCUCUCUCUCCCCCUGUCGGUAAGUUCUACGUUCCGGUGCAUCAGUGUCAUUGUCAAGUAGAAUUUGCCAAAGCAUUCGGAAGCAAACGGAAUCUCGUUUAUAACCGAUCAUCGAACGCAUACGAUGAUAUUUCUCGCGACAGAAAGAAAAUUUCUCCUAAGAGAAGCGACGGCCGCUGCGAAUUUCUAAUCGGUCUGACCAUGAAUUACCGAUUCCAUUACUUUUCCAAUUGAGUGUUAAGAAUUCGGUAGGUGUAUUAAACUGCAUUUCGAGGCGAUCGUAGCAGUUGCAUCUAUCAAAAGAAACCUAAUGAAAGUUUUCCUCGAAAGAACUCGAUAGAGAGAGAGAGAGAGACAUGAAAUCGUUGCGACUCGCAGACGCCAAGAUUUGUUCCACGUGACUUGUCGCCUCUCGUUUCCGCUUUCCAGUCGCAUGACGGACUACAAGGAAUGAAACCAUUGACGCGUUUCCGGCCACAGCGAGGACAAACGUGACAACGUAGAAGAGAAGAAGCGACGUUUAAAUCAAAGAUGUAUGGCUGGAACGUGAGAACGCUCUUUGAACUCUCGAAGGCAAGUGCCACAUCGAAGGGUCGAUCUACUCCAAUAAAUAGCCGAGGACGACCGUGAGAUUCGCCGAGUAACGAGUAACGAGAAACGAAAAACGGCGAAGGAUUUUAAUCCGUCCUCUCCUGUCCCCGAUCAUCUACGUCAUUGCGGUACGUGAUUUUACAAAGAGAAGCGAGGCAAGCUGGCAGACAAGCAAAACCAGGCAAGGAGGCCGGCAGGCAAGCAGACAGGAAAGCAGGCAGAUGGCGAAUGGAGUGGAGCGUUUUACGCCUGGCUUCUCGAAAUUCGAAUUAGGAAUCUUUCAUCGCGUUCAUUCCACUACAUCAUUCUUAUCGAUCUUUAAAUUGAAUUUUUUCGUUGAAUUGCUUUUAAAUCGAAGCGAUCUAACAACGAAUAAAAACGCUCUAUGGAAUACCGAAUACAUACUCAUCAUUUUUAUCUAUAUACUCAACGAUGAUAUAUCGUUGCACGCUGCGUUCUUCUUAUUAAGGGCUCUGCAACCAGGCCUGACCGCUCGAACACUCGUACUUUUUUGUUCAAUUAUAAAACAUGUGUUAUAUUGUCUAAAUUCGUAUUUUCUUCGAUAUCAAAUGAAAAACGAAAUUACUUGAGCGAGAUAGAUACAAUUUUAAAGGAAAUGACAACGCGCGAACAUAUUACGAGGAUAAUCGUAAAGGAUUCGUUCUUUCGAAUGUCAAAAUGAAUUUUUUCUCGAAGCAAAAUCGACUUUAGGAUCGACGCGACGGGAUAAUUUUCGCUCGGAGCUCGUCACGAUCAAAGAAGCUUGCUAAGUACGUUGACAGAGGAACUAGCGCACGCGAAUUUAUACGACUUUUGUUUUGGACUGAAGCUUUUAUAAAUGCUCCUCGCAGGCAGACAGAAAAGAGAGAGGGAGUGAGCGUGUGAGCGAGAGAGAGAGAGAGAGAGAGGAAGACAGUAUACAAACUCGAGGAGGAAAGAGGAACCAUCCGGACCGGAUGCCAGUCUAUGCGUCAGAAGACCCGUGGAAAAUUACUGUGAGCCAUAUGACAAAGUACACGACCGUACACGUUCGUACAUAUACCCUACAUAGGCCGUAUGAUCUUCCGCAAGUACGACAUUUCUCUUUGAUUUUGUACAAACCAUCCCAAGUUCGGAAGUAUCCUGUCGAGUAAAUAGCUGGUAAGUAACUGAUAUUUACUAUGCAUACAAGUUGCUCGCCUCGAGAAGGAAGGUAUCUCUUCUCGAGUAGAACUCGGAAUUAUUAACUUUUCGCUAUUUCGAGCGAAGCCUCCGCCGUGUUCAUAUAUGUAGGUAUACAGAGGCUACGUCGAUUCUCCAACUUCUCUCUCGAUUAACUUUCAAAAUUCUACUGAAAUUCGAAUUGAAAGUCGAAGAACCGGAUUAGCGACGGGGAAGAACCAAUAAUUGGUCGAGUAGAGUAAACGAUGGCGACUCGAGGAAAAAUUGUAUAAUGGUUGGGAAUAAUUAUCGCGCUACGGAUUAUCAUCUUUCGCGUAAACGAAUCGAAUAUAGAAACGGAAUCGUUUAACUCGUUAUACUUCCAUUUCGAAGAUAUAUUAUACUUUAUAAUCGAAUAUAUAGAGCAUGUAGGGUAUAAAAAGGCAUAAAGAGGAAGAACGAGAAAAAUGCGAACGAGUUUCUCUUUUCGUGCAAUUGCCGUUUAAAUUUUGGAAAUGAGAAAGAGAAAGAGAUAGAAACAUUUAUCAUCGAUUUUUCUUCGAAUAACAUUAUUGAUUCGAUUAAGGAUUAAGUAUAUGUACUACUUUAUACUACUUUAUAUAUCCACGUGUGGCGCGCGCGCGCGCGCGCGCGCGCGUGUGUGUGUGUGUGUGUGUGUCCAUGCACGUAUACGUACGUAUGUAUAUGUACGAACUUACAAACUUACGACUAGAGCUUGAAAAACAAUGAGUUACUUUGCAUAUCUCGAAUCUCCAGGUUUUCCUCUUUCCUCUUGCAAGUCCUCCGAAUGCGUCCGGUAUUAAUUAUCAACAAAGCUAAUGACUCGAAGUAGGGUCACGAGAUGCUUGUCAGCUAGAAGCAACUACUAAGAGCCCUAUGAGAAUCUUUACUACAUCGAUUUAUCCGUACUAUUAUAUGUAUUCAAACGCAUUUAUCUGAGACCCUUUACGUAACGGUAAAGUAUUUACCAAAAAUAAAAAAAGUCUUAGAUAAAAUAAACGAGAUAAUCGACUUUUGUAGAUACAGUUCCGUACUUACUACAAUUUCAUGACAAGUUACAAGAGGAAUCGCAAACAGGGGUCAAUGUCUUUCUUGUCCAUAAUAACAAAUGAUCGAAAAUAAAAGAUUAUCCAACGACAAAAGGAUCAACCCUUAUCGUGUUAUCGUUAAUAAAUAAAUAAAUAUAUAGGCGUACGGAAUAGCUUUUAUAUUUAUAUACUUGUAUCAUU
Long non-coding RNA from Vespula vulgaris, 7141 nucleotides. RefSeq lists it as uncharacterized. The record is from RefSeq and is a predicted model, not a curated record. The transcript has 3 exons. NCBI's taxonomy places the organism in Eukaryota, Metazoa, Arthropoda, Insecta, Hymenoptera, Vespidae.